UACGGAGGGGGCUAGCGUUGUUCGGAAUUACUGGGCGUAAAGCGCGCGUAGGCGGAUCGUUAAGUCGGGGGUGAAAUCCUGGAGCUCAACUCCAGAACUGCCUUUGAUACUGGCGAUCUUGAGUCCGGGAGAGGUGAGUGGAACUCCGAGUGUAGAGGUGAAAUUCGUAGAUAUUCGGAAGAACACCAGUGGCGAAGGCGGCUCACUGGCCCGGUACUGACGCUGAGGUGCGAAAGCGUGGGGAGCAAACAGGG
Molecule: ribosomal RNA, 254 nt
Filed under: uncultured bacterium
Lineage: Bacteria
Description: partial 16S ribosomal RNA
Rfam family: Bacterial small subunit ribosomal RNA
Source: RNAcentral